Molecule: non-coding RNA, 76 nt
Organism: Myotis lucifugus (little brown bat)
Lineage: Eukaryota; Metazoa; Chordata; Mammalia; Chiroptera; Vespertilionidae
Source: Rfam
GGUAGUUCUUAGGUAACAUACCCUGGAAUCGGGCUCCCUUUUCUCUGGUUCCAGGGUGCAUCACUCAAGAACCGCC